GCGGGUGUAGUAUAAUGGCUAUUAUGUCGGCUUCCCAAGCCGAAGAAAGGAGUUCGAUUCUCCUUAUCCGCUCAA
This 75-nucleotide transfer RNA is filed under the name Candidatus Magasanikbacteria bacterium CG1_02_32_51. RNAcentral's name for it is "tRNA-Gly". It matches the Rfam family "tRNA". Rfam says of the family: Transfer RNA (tRNA) molecules are approximately 80 nucleotides in length. Their secondary structure includes four short double-helical elements and three loops (D, anti-codon, and T loops). Further hydrogen bonds mediate the characteristic L-shaped molecular structure. tRNAs have two regions of fundamental functional importance: the anti-codon, which is responsible for specific mRNA codon recognition, and the 3' end, to which the tRNAs corresponding amino acid is attached (by aminoacyl-tRNA synthetases). tRNAs cope with the degeneracy of the genetic code in two manners: having more than one tRNA (with a specific anti-codon) for a particular amino acid; and 'wobble' base-pairing, i.e. permitting non-standard base-pairing at the 3rd anti-codon position. Lineage: Bacteria; Candidatus Magasanikiibacteriota. The record is from RNAcentral. RNAcentral also lists the same sequence under 1 other name.